Molecule: ribosomal RNA, 1062 nt
Filed under: Triticum aestivum (bread wheat)
Lineage: Eukaryota; Viridiplantae; Streptophyta; Magnoliopsida; Poales; Poaceae
Description: partial small subunit ribosomal RNA
Source: RNAcentral
AUGAAGCAGACCGUGGUGAUGUACCCCGGCGCCGGCGUCGGCCACGUUGGCCCCAUGUCGGAGCUCGCCAACGUCUUCCUCGAGCAUGGCUACGACGUCACCGUGGUGCUCGUCGAGCCGCCUUUCAAGUCGACAGACUCCGCCGCCACCGCCAUCGAGCGCAUCGCCGCCUCCAACCCGUCCAUCUCCUUCCAUGUCCUCCCGCCCCUCCCUGCUCCAGACUUUGCAGCCUCCGGCAAGCACCCUUCCCUACUCAUGCUCCAGCUCUUGCACGACUAUAACGAGCGGUUGGAAGCGUUCCUCCGCGGCAUCCCCCGGAAAAAGUUGCACUCUGUCAUCCUCGACAUGUUCUGCGUCCACGCCACCGACGUCUGCGUGAAGCUCGGCGUCCCGGUCUACACGUUCUUCGUCGGGGGCGCCUCGUGCCUGUCUGUCCUAACCCAGGUCCCGGCACUGAUAGCCGGCAGGCAGACGGGCUUGAAGGAACUCGGGGACAUGCCCCUCGAUUUCCUCGGCGUCCCGCCGAUGCCAGCGUCUCAUCUCAUCAAGGAGCUGCUGGAGCACCCCGAGGAUGAGAUGUGCAAGGCCAUGACAGACAUCUGGAAGCGCAACACGGAGACCAUGGGCGUUCUGGUGAACACGUUUGAGUUGUUGGAGAGCCGGGCGGUGCAGUCUCUCAUGGACCUCCCCGGCAGAAAGCUGCCUCCGAUCUACUGCGUCGGGCCGUUGGUCAGCAAGGGCACCAAGGAUCAUUACAAAGCAGAGAGGAACGAGUGCCUUGAGUGGCUCGAUGCGCAGCCCGACCGCAGCGUGGUGUUCCUCUGUUUCGGGAGCAUGGGCACGCUCUCGGCGGAGCAGCUCAAGGAGAUGGCCGUUGGGUUGGAGAGGUCAGGGCAGCGGUUCCUGUGGUCCGUGCGCAAGCCCGCCGGAAGCAACAGCCGGACCUUGACGCGCUGCUGCCUCAAGGAUUCCUACAGCGGACAAAGGGCAGGGGCCUUGUCGUCAAGUCGUGGGCGCCGCAGGUGGCCGUGCUCCGCCACCAGGCGACAGGCGCGUUCGUGA